UGGGGAAUAUUGCACAAUGGGCGCAAGCCUGAUGCAGCCAUGCCGCGUGUGUGAAGAAGGCCUUCGGUUGUAAAGCACUUUCAGCGAGGAGGAAGGUGGUGAGCUUAAUACGCUCAUCAAUUGACGUUACUCGCAGAAGAAGCACCGGCUAACUCCGUGCCAGCAGCCGCGGUAAUACGGAGGGUGCAAGCGUUAAUCGGAAUUACUGGGCGUAAAGCGCACGCAGGCGGUUUGUUAAGUCAGAUGUGAAAUCCCCGGGCUCAACCUGGGAACUGCAUUUGAAACUGGCAAGCUAGAGUCUCGUAGAGGGGGGUAGAAUUCCAGGUGUAGCGGUGAAAUGCGUAGAGAUCUGGAGGAAUACCGGUGGCGAAGGCGGCCCCCUGGACGAAGACUGACGCUCAGGUGCGAAAGCGUGGGGCAGCAAACAGGAUUAGAUACCCUGGUAGUCCCACCGCUGUAAAACGAUGUCGAUUUUGGAGGUUGUGCCCCUUGAGGCGUGGCUUCCGGAGCUAACGCGUUAAAUCGACCGCC
RNAcentral lists this ribosomal RNA (531 nucleotides) under uncultured bacterium. RNAcentral describes it as "partial 16S ribosomal RNA". It matches the Rfam family "Bacterial small subunit ribosomal RNA", at positions 355 to 873 of the family's 1533-position model. The record is from RNAcentral.